RNAcentral lists this long non-coding RNA (333 nucleotides) under Cucumis sativus (cucumber). Its description in RNAcentral is "long non-coding RNA (CSAT_LNC003046)". Lineage: Eukaryota; Viridiplantae; Streptophyta; Magnoliopsida; Cucurbitales; Cucurbitaceae. The record is from RNAcentral.
AAGAGAGAAGGGGGAGGAGAGGGAGGAGAGGGAGACUUGGCCGUUAGAGAAGAGGAGAAAGAAAUUUUAAAUGAGAGAGACUGUACAUGUAGGGUUUUUAUUAGAUUUUUUUUUUUUUUGAAAUCUUGCUUAAUUGGAUUGAGAGAAUUUUGGUAUUCGCUUCAUCGACUUGUAUUAGCUGUCCAUUGGUCCAUUGUUUUGUCAUUUUUUUUCAACAAACUAAAUGUUUUAAGCCAUUUACAAAUUAGAUUUCGAUAAAUCGAUAAUCAUAUUCUUUUACAAUAUAGGACUAAAAAAGAUAACUAAUAUAUAUAUACAUACAACAGUAUUUAG